GUUUAGGGCCUGUGACACCUCUGGGUUACUAGACGAUGGAACGGCGCCGUUUUGCUUAGGGGACAAAAUGUUUGGUUUGGUUUGGUUUCACUAGAGCUGGGCAUUUCAUCGGAAACUCCAGCGUAGCUCUCUCCAUCUCCACAGCAGCUCCUUCCCAUCCGUCUUCUCUCCAUUCAGAUUCUGAACAACCGUACGGAAAACCAAAAAUCGCCAAAUUCCAAAACCAAGAAAGUGCUGCCUAAUCCUCAUCCUCCUACUCCAUCUCGGUAAGUUGUUUGUGUGUUGAUUUUGGUUAUGUGUAAUUGAUUCUGUUUGGUUGUUUAUGCUUUUGUGUGGCUCUGGGUCGAUGGAUUAGCUUAAUUAGAAUGCCCAAUGCGCUCUACCCUGUAUGUUCAUUUUCCUUCCCUUGAUUUCUUUUUCCAAAAUUGGUACUGAACCUUUGUUGAGAAAUGGUAGCAAGGAUAUGAAAUUUAACUCUUUUAGUUCCCAAUAUUUCGGUAUUUGGUUGAUCUGCAGUUGCUAGUUGUGGACCAAACUUGGGUUGUUUCUUUGUUUCUGGCCUUUUUUACUGUGAUGCUUGUUUAGUCACUCCUCUAUAGCAAAAACAUUUUAUGUUCAUUGCAAUAGAAAAUUAAGAAUAAUUGCUUAAAUGGUUUCUGAAUAUAUAUAUAUAUAUAUAUAAAGAUAAUUUAAUUAUUUCAAAUUAACUAUAUAGAAUGACUAUCAGUAUGUCAUAGGGUUGGAUCACAAGGUCAUGCCUAGGUGGGGGUCACCGGGUCAAGUUCGAUGGUCAUCAAGUUGAGUCCAAUGGUCACUAGGUUGAGUCCAAUGGUCACUAGGUUAGAUCAGAAGGUCACUAGGUCAGACCAAGAAGUUACUUGUCUGAGCUUGUGGUUAAGGAGGCCGGUUUGAUUGUUAGAACUUAGAAGGGCAGGAUCAAGGGUCAACGAGGAAACAAAAACAAAUAUAGUUACCAGUCUUACUUAAUUUUCAGUUUUGAAAACCUGAAAAAAAAUAAUAAUGAGUCAUGGCUAGUUUCCUUGGAAAUUCAGGGAGGGCUGCUCUCUGGCGCAGAGAGGGUUUAAUCUGGUCUACCUCGAGGUCCUUUCAUGGAGGGCUGCUCUCUGGCGGGAGUAGCUGUUAUGCAGCUCCCACAUGAGUUUUUCUGUACCUUCAUAGAUGAUUUGAGUUUCCUUGUUGAUGUGCUUUCAUAAACAGAGCUAUUUUUCCAAUCGUGUAUAUAAUAUGAUUUUCCUUAUAUUCCUGAAAGAGGAAGAGCUUUGAAAUUUGUAGACAAUUCUUUUUUUGUCAUUAUACAAAAUAACUAUAAACUCAUAAAUUGAUUCACAUUAUGUUUGUCAUGCGAUCAUGUUUUUCUAGUAUUAUUAUGCUUAAUGAAAUUUAAGCUGUUAUCUUUUCAUGAGAUAUGAUGGCUAUAGGUGAUAGAUUGCAACUGAUUCAUCUGUUAUCACAGUUGAUUUUCUCCAGUUAUAGUUGCAGUCAAGGUUCGUUCUUCAUUACUUGCUGAAGGAGAUCCAAGUUUUUAGGUUAGACAUCUCCAAACUGAAGCAGUAAAUUUUUACUUUGGUUGGUCCUCUCCUUGUUUUUUUGUUUGUACUGGGACUUUAUUGUUUAGAUUAAAUAUCAUUUCUAUUUUGAUCCGACUGUAUAUGUUUUUAGACUUUCUAAUACCGAACGACUUUGGUUUGUUUUUCAUUUUCUCUAUAUACUUAUGAUUGUUUUAUUUUACUUUCUUGGUACUCAGUCCCAUUAUUUGUUACUUUUUGUACAUAAUCUAUAAAUCUGAUUUGAAAUCUUUGUUCAUAUGUUAUAUGAUUUCCCCAUCCUUUUUUUUGUAGUUAUGUUUUCUAUGACAACCUGGUUGAUGUUAUUUAGUUUUAGGGAUUUGGGGUUUUAUUUUUCUAGAGAUGCUUGACUGUUCGGGACUUGGUUCUGCAGAAGCAUAGUAAAGUUGUGAAUACUUCAAAAAGGCCUGACUUGAUGGAUGGGUUUCUCUUGAUUUCAUAAAGUGCUUAAUGGAGGAUUUGUUAAAGAUUGUUAAAGAUACGAAAAUGCUCUGAUAUGUGGUGGUCUUUUUUUUCCCGUUUCGUACCCAAAAUUUAUCAUGAAGGACUGGAUUCUUUCUGUUUUAUUUAAAUCAUUUUUAAGUUUAGACCCUGCUAUCAUUCCACUGACUAGGAUUUGUUUAUAGAUUGUCAAAAUAGUCAGCCAAAAAGAAAGAGCACCAAAAGUAAUGGCGACCAAGAUAUGCGUAGUGAUUCGAUCUUUUCAUCACCCAAACCUUUUGUGGGGGCUUCCACCUUCCACACGGAGGAUUGCAUUGCCUGAAUCACGAGUCUUAUAUACUGUGUUGCGAUCACCUCAUAUUGAUAAAAAGUCCAGAGAGCAGUUUGAAAUGGAAAUCAAGAAACAAUAUCUGGUCAUAAAGACACAACCGCAUGAAUUGCAGAAGAAGUUUUUUUGGCUAAAGCGCCAACGUAUAUUUGGAGCUCAAUAUGAACUCCUAUUUUCUUGCAAGACUCGAUUGGAUAAGGAACAACUGCUUUAAUUGCUUUGAAGCAAGAUCCUUGCAUUGACCCUUCCCUGAACCAGAACCAGCAUGGCGGCGCCGCUGGACGGUUCUGAUAAACACAGGAAGGGAGGGGAAAGAGAGCACGUCAAAUGAUGCCCUAGUUUGUAUUGUGGCUGGUGUUUUUCAAGUUUAGUUUAAAAUCCGUUUUGAUCAGAUAGGAAGAUGCAGAACUGUUUUUGGUUAUUGUGGGAUUCUGCGUCCAAGUUAGAGAAUGAUAUGAGGUUGCUAUAAUAAUCCAACACUUGACAUUUUCAACUUGGAGUUGGAUAUCUCACUGAACAAUUGCAUUAUCGAUCUCAAAUGUUAGAAGGCACGGGCAAAGAAAUACUUGCAUUAGAGGGCUGGAACUUCCUGUGCUGCAACUUCUUUUGUUUUUCGUUUUUGUUUUUCUUUGCUUUAUUA
Molecule: long non-coding RNA, 2995 nt
Filed under: Prunus dulcis (almond)
Lineage: Eukaryota; Viridiplantae; Streptophyta; Magnoliopsida; Rosales; Rosaceae
Description: sRNA ncRNA
Source: RNAcentral